AACACCAAAUCCCUAAAAUUACAGAUAAUUUGUAAACAUUAAAAGCAAUUGCGCACGCACGCAGCCCCUUUCUCUCAACAGCACGCACGCCGCCAGCACACUUAGCCCAUGCAGCAGCAACCGAGCACGGUAGCAACAGGCCACCAGCAGUCGCUCUCUCUCUCACGCACACGCAGCAGCAAGCCAACACCAAUAGCCCCUCUUUCUCAUGCUCACUCUCUACUAUGACGAAGUCAACACUAUAGCCCUCUUACGUACUCAAGAAAACUCUAACCCAUAUCCAAACCCUCGCCGUCGAAGAAAACCCAAUCCUUAAUGGCUUGAAAUUAAAGCCUCCGCCGUCAAUCACCAUCGAACCAAAUAAACCCUAGCCUUACCAUCACUCUUCAUUUGACUCGCUGAAGAAAGCACUCUAUUAGGUAAGUCUCUGUUGUUUGAUAAUAUAUCUGCACUCUUUGUUGGCCGAAGCUUUUAGACAAUUGCUUUGAUUCAAUUGCUUCGAUUGGUUAGUUCUCUGUGAUUAAUUAGUUAGUUACUUUUAAUUUCAUAUUUUCAUCUCUAACAGUGAAUUUGGGAGUCGUUUUCUCUAUCGGAUUUGUAAUUUUUGCUACGGAUCAAAAACAUCUUGAAGGUGUUUUCAUAUCUAACAACUUGAACUAUCAUUUAUUUUGUCCUAUUAAUGUUCAAUUUUUUUUUUCUUUUUUAUUAGUAUGACAAUUAGUCGAAUGUCCUUGCACAUAAAACAAUCUUUUAACUUGGCGUUGGAAUAUUUGUUUUGAGUUGUGUCCCCUUAAUCAGUGACCAUACAAAAGUUCCCCAUGAUAAAGUGUUUAGCCCUAUUAAUGCCAUAAAGUCUUGCUCUCAAUUUUUCUGAUUAUGCCUAUGGAUUGAUUACCUAUUUCAUUUACAAAUUCAAUUGGCAAAUGUACAAUGCCUGCAUGACACUCACAUUUGGGUUAUAAUGGUAGUCAUUAUGAGGAAGAAGGUUAGAAUAACAUCAGGGGAAACAUCUGGGAGAAGGUAUGUACUGUCAAGCUCUUUGUUAGAAUCAUCACGAAAUUUAUAUUGGAUCGUGGCUGUUCUAUGUGAUGCAUUUUGGAUUUGCUCUUGCUAGACAUGCAAAAACUUGUAAAAUGUAUUUUUUUUUUCCCAUUUUAGAUUUACUAUCUAGUAUCUUGUAGGUUUAAUCUAAAAUAGAAACCAUUCAGGAUACUGGACACAAUUCUAAUGAAGAGAAAAGAUGUUAGACUUUAGUAUUCAACCUUUUUUUUUUAGCCAUAUUUCUAGACCCCAAGUUUAUGUCAUGAUAAUUGUGUGAUUGAUAAGAUAUUUUGGUUUUAGACUGUAUCUCAUGGAUUUAGAGUUCGAUUAUAUUUGGAAGUGGAAUAAUGCAUUCAUUUACAUAUGAUGUUUGAUGAAGUUCCCAUAAAAUUAAUUCAAUUAUAUAUGCUUAUGGUUCUAAGGAAGCGGGGCAAAAAUUUUAUCAGUGGGUUGAUUUCACUAGUUCAAGUUAGUAAAGCAAAGAAAUUGUCUUUAUGCACUUUAACUUUCCUCCAUUUAAGUUAAAAAAAUUAUUGAAGCUUUUGGAAGUGAAUUGUUCAUUUUGUUUGUGCACUUAUGCAGAUGGAUUUACUUUUGGCUGCUUAACCCUUCCUCACUUAUAUUUUUUCAGUUUAAAUUGCAGUGUUUUACUGCUGUGCAACAGCACAAGAGGUUGUUUUAUUGUUGUUUCUAUAAAAACACAGCACCAGGAAGCGUCCAGGUAAUGUUUCGCUGCUGUUAUGCAGUAAAAACAACACCUGAAAGUUUCUAGGUGCUAUUUUUACUGCUGUUUACGCAGAAACACAGCACCUAAAAGUGUCUCUAAGUUCUGUUUAGCUGCUAUUAUGCAGCAAAAACAGCACUUGGAAACUUCCAAGUGCUGUUUUUAUUGCAUUUUAUGCAGAAACAAAGCACCUAGAAGCAUUCAAGGGUUGCUUUACUGUUGUUUUGUAUUUAAAAUUGGUCUUAGAAAUUUUGGGUGCUAUUUCGCUGAAAUUUUGCUACUAACAGUGCAGCUUAAUAAUUUCAUAUGUCGUUUUGAACCUUCUUCAGUUCUUUUCUCUUAUGUCUAUACUUAAUCUUUUCCCCCCUUGGUAAUAAGCAGGUACAAUUUUUGCAAGGUAAUAUCUAAGCAUGCUGUUAAUUCUUUGGUUGAGACGUAGUAUUCUAAACUUCAGGCCUUAAUUUUUUUAUUUCCAAGUGUAUAAUGGGUAGGUACUGGAUCUCUUAUGGAUGAUGUAGUUAAUGCUUUUUUAUUGUCUCUAUUUUGGCAAAUGUGUUGUCAUUUAUUAUCUGAACACAUGGUUGAUUAACUUACUUGAGGUAAGUCUAUUAAUUAAUAGUGAUAUGGUACUUUAAAGUCUUGUUUUACAACUUAAGUCACUAAAGUGAUUUAAUAUUUAUGAUUUAUAAUAUAUGAAUAUAUCUUAAUUUCUCUUUAUUCUUUGUAAGAAUGAUGUAGAUUGCUGAAGCUGGUGAGAUUCAUUUGCAAUUAAAGACUUGAUGAGAAAUUAGAUGUACUCACACAUGCCAAUCUUGUUGGUUGCUAGUGCAUUCACUAGUAGAAGUUUAAUGAUUGUUGGAGAUUUUUGUAGAGCUAUCUCUUUGUAUAUGAAACAUUUGCAUCAUUUUGUAUAUGAAACAUUUGAGAAAAAUAAUUGUAAAGAAUUUAAUAUGAAAUUAGAAUUAAAAUAGGAGCUUGAAAUAGCCUUAAAUUUGCCA
Molecule: long non-coding RNA, 2763 nt
Filed under: Citrus maxima (pomelo)
Lineage: Eukaryota; Viridiplantae; Streptophyta; Magnoliopsida; Sapindales; Rutaceae
Description: long non-coding RNA (CMAX_LNC003705)
Source: RNAcentral